CGCGGCCUAUCAGCUUGUUGGUGAGGUAACGGCUCACCAAGGCAUCGACGGGUAGCUGGUCUGAGAGGACGAUCAGCCACACUGGGACUGAGACACGGCCCAGACUCCUGCGGGAGGCAGCAGUGGGGAAUCUUGCGCAAUGGGCGAAAGCCUGACGCAGCAACGCCGCGUGGGGGAUGAAGGCUCUCGGGUUGUAAACCCCUUUCAGCAGGGACGAAAUUGACGGUACCUGCAGAAGAAGCCCCGGCCAACUACGUGCCAGCAGCCGCGGUAACACGUAGGGGGCGAGCGUUGUCCGGAAUUAUUGGGCGUAAAGAGCUCGUAGGCGGUUUGGUAAGUCAGAUGUGAAAGGUUGGGGCUCAACCCUAAGAUUGCAUCCGAUACUGCUAUGACUAGAGUCCGGUAGAGGAGUGUGGAAUUCCUGGUGUAGCGGUGAAAUGCGCAGAUAUCAGGAGGAACACCGACGGCGAAGGCAGCACUCUGGGCCGGUACUGACGCUGAGGAGCGAAAGCGUGGGUAGCAAACAGGAUUAGAUACCCUGGUAGUCCACGCCGUAAACGUUGGGCACUAGGUGUGGGGCCUUAUCAACGGGUUCCGUGCCGUAGCUAACGCAUUAAGUGCCCCGCCUGGGGAGUACGG
RNAcentral lists this ribosomal RNA (639 nucleotides) under uncultured bacterium. RNAcentral's name for it is "bacterial SSU rRNA". It matches the Rfam family "Bacterial small subunit ribosomal RNA", at positions 232 to 885 of the family's 1533-position model. The record is from RNAcentral.